ACGGCUCAGUAACACGUAGUCAACAUGCCCAGGGGACGUGGAUAACCUCGGGAAACUGAGGAUAAACCGCGAUAGGCCAAGGUUUCUGGAAUGGACGCUGGCUGAAAUCUAUAUGGCCCCUGGAUUGGACUGCGGCCGAUCAGGCUGUUGGUGAGGUAAUGGCCCACCAAACCUGUAACCGGUACGGGCUCUGAGAGGAGGAGCCCGGAGAUGGGCACUGAGACAAGGGCCCAGGCCCUAUGGGGCGCAGCAGGCGCGAAACCUCUGCAAUAGGCGAAAGCUUGACAGGGUUACUCUGAGUGAUUUCCGUUAAGGAGAUCUUUUGGCACCUCUAAAAAUGGUGCAGAAUAAGGGGUGGGCAAGUCUGGUGUCAGCCGCCGCGGUAAUACCAGCACCCCGAGUGGUCGGGACGUUUAUUGGGCCUAAAGCAUCCGUAGCCGGUUCUACAAGUCUUCCGUUAAAUCCACCUGCUUAACAGAUGGGCUGCGGAAGAUACUAUAGAGCUAGGAGGCGGGAGAGGCAAGCGGUACUCGAUGGGUAGGGGUAAAAUCCGUUGAUCCAUUGAAGACCACCAGUGGCGAAGGCGGCUUGCCAGAACGCGCUCGACGGUGAGGGAUGAAAGCUGGGGGAGCAAACCGGAUUAGAUACCCGGGUAGUCCCAGCUGUAAACGAUGCAGACUCGGUGAUGAGUUGGCUUAUUGCUAACUCAGUGCCGCAGGGAAGCCGUUAAGUUUGCCGCCUGGGGAGUACGGUCGCAAGACUGAAACUUAAAGGAAUUGGCGGGGGAG
RNAcentral lists this ribosomal RNA (788 nucleotides) under uncultured archaeon. RNAcentral's name for it is "bacterial SSU rRNA". It matches the Rfam family "Archaeal small subunit ribosomal RNA", at positions 85 to 876 of the family's 1478-position model. The record is from RNAcentral.